UUUACUUUGAAAAACGUCAUUCGAUACUUGAUUAGCUAGCUAGCUACAUUACACGUCUGCUGUCACACAACGAAGAAAGUCCAUUAAUAACAAAUAUAAUAUCAACGCAUUGACAUUUUAAAGUUGCAAAGGCUAUGAAGUGUGCUCCACGCUAAACAAAGAAGAAGACUUAAGUGAUGCUCACUUUUCAGUGGAAUUAACUGCUGGAUGCUGAUAAGUUCAUCUUAUGAUGGGGGUAUUGAUCUUCAUAAGAUAAACAGACUCUUGCUCAGUAGCCUGGUUGUCCACUAGAUGUCUCCUCAUCACUACCUCAGAGUAUAGACUACAUGCUGUGUGUGAGUAAAGCAUCACACACUUUACCUCUAUGGUCUUUCGUCUCUAUUAUCUAAAUGAUGCCUCACCUUUCUCUUGUUUUUAUGGUAAAAUAUGGUUGUUUUUUUUCCAGAGCAGUCACUCCUGGGAGACACUGUAAACUAUCUUUUCUUUCCAGACCCAUUCCCCAGGAUACUGCCAUGACAACAACAUUGUUAGUCAUACUGACAACUUUGUGAUUAUGUAAAUAUUUUGCUCGUAGGAUAUCAAUAUGUGGGGCAAUCUCUAGCUCACCCAGUAAGAGGUUGCGCCCCAUGUGCGCCUGGGGUUCCGGUCUGACCUGCGGCCCUUUGCUGGGUGUCAUCCCCCAUCUCUCCCACCUUUCCUGUCUAUCUACUGU
Etheostoma spectabile (orangethroat darter) is the source of this 712-nucleotide long non-coding RNA. RefSeq lists it as uncharacterized. The transcript has 3 exons. Lineage: Eukaryota; Metazoa; Chordata; Actinopteri; Perciformes; Percidae. The record is from RefSeq and is a predicted model, not a curated record.